AUCGCUUUGUGAUAUUGAGUUGGUUUCUGCCAUACAUCAAUAUGAAUCAGCCAUAGGUUACUGGGAAUUCCAGAAACAUACCUUGAGCUCUCAGACCUCUGGAGUGUAUUUCUUGCCUUUCCUUGCCUGACAUGCUCUCCAAUGCAUGCCAGUGACCACCUGGAAAACCUUUAUCAUCCUUCCAGGGAACCCACCCAAACCUCUGUCACCCAGUCGGAUGGGGAAGAAAGAAAGAAAAGUGCUCGCCCAGGUUUCCACUUAUAUCCCAUUAACCAAAUAUUGGUAACAUGGCCAAUCUCUAGUUGCAAGGGACAUUGAAAAAUGUAGUCUUCAGUGGAGCACCUAUGUGCCUAGCUAAAUGUAAAACGAUUCCUUUA
Molecule: long non-coding RNA, 377 nt
Organism: Cervus elaphus (red deer)
Lineage: Eukaryota; Metazoa; Chordata; Mammalia; Artiodactyla; Cervidae
Exons: 3
Source: RefSeq, a predicted model, not a curated record